GCGAGUGANGCGGGAAAAGCUCAAAUUUAAAAUCUGGCGGCUUUGGUCGUCCGAGUUGUAUUCUAGAGAAGUGUUUUCCGCGUUGGACCGUGUAUAAGUCUCUUGGAAUAGAGCGUCAUAGAGGGUGAGAAUCCCGUCUUUGACACGGACUACCAAUGCUUUGUGAUACACUCUCAAAGAGUCGAGUUGUUUGGGAAUGCAGCUCAAAAUGGGUGGUAAAUUCCAUCUAAAGCUAAAUAUUGGCGAGAGACCGAUAGCGAACAAGUACCGUGAGGGAAAGAUGAAAAGCACUUUGGAAAGAGAGUUAAACAGUACGUGAAAUUGCUGAAAGGGAAACGCUUGAAGUCAGUCGCGUUAGCUAGAACUCAACCAGGCUUGCUUGGCGUAUUUUCUAGUUAACGGGCCAGCAUCAGUUUUGACCGCAGGAAAAGGGCCAGGGAAAUGUGGCAUCUUCGGAUGUGUUAUAGUCUCUGGUCGUAUACUGUGAUUGGGACUGAGGACCGCAGCACGCGCAAGCUGUGCUUAGGAUGCUGGCGUAAUGGCUUUAAACGACCCGU
Molecule: ribosomal RNA, 557 nt
Filed under: Irpex lacteus
Lineage: Eukaryota; Fungi; Basidiomycota; Agaricomycetes; Polyporales; Irpicaceae
Description: partial 28S ribosomal RNA
Rfam family: Eukaryotic large subunit ribosomal RNA
Source: RNAcentral